CACGGAGGGGGCUAGCGUUGCCCGGAAUUAUUGGGCGUAAAGCGCGCGCAGGCGGUACUUUAAGUCUGAUGUGAAAGCAUGCGGCUUAACCGCAAGCGGUCAUUGGAAACUGGGGGACUUGAGUACAGAAGAGGAGAGCGGAAUUCCACGUGUAGCGGUGAAAUGCGUAGAGAUGUGGAGGAACACCAGUGGCGCAGGCGGCUCUCUGGUCUGUAACUGACGCUGAGGCGCGAAAGCGUGGGGAGCGAACAGG
Molecule: unclassified non-coding RNA, 253 nt
Filed under: uncultured Caryophanales bacterium
Lineage: Bacteria; Bacillati; Bacillota; Bacilli; Caryophanales
Description: uncultured Bacillales bacterium contains 16S-23S intergenic spacer region
Rfam family: Bacterial small subunit ribosomal RNA
Source: RNAcentral